CAAUGGAUCCCAAAUAGAAGAUGGCUUGUUCGGACAUAAAAAAAGUUUCACUUAGACCACUACAACUUUGAAAUUCCACAGAAGGCACGCUACCUGCAACCUUCAAAAAGACGAACCACGAAGAGAGAGAGGGAGAGUAAUUUGAUGAAAAUUGUAAACUUAGGGUUU
Molecule: long non-coding RNA, 168 nt
Organism: Lycium ferocissimum
Lineage: Eukaryota; Viridiplantae; Streptophyta; Magnoliopsida; Solanales; Solanaceae
Exons: 2
Source: RefSeq, a predicted model, not a curated record